CCGGGUUCAUUGGAUUCUUUUUGUCUUCAGGCACGUAUUAGUCAUAUAGUAAUCUCUUCCUCUUUUGGGGAGAGAGGUGGCGGCGGCGUAUCCCCACGUGGGAGUUUCUCGGGACUUCGGAGUGACUGACAGAGUUCCAGCCGCAUCAUGUCACAAGCACGGAAAGUCUGUACCUGCAGCAAAGUAGAACAACCUUCCUAAAGAAGUUGGCGCUCCCUACGAAGAGACUUGGAGUCAUUUUAUCACCCAGGUGGACUCUCCAUGACAGCUGUGAUCCAGUCCGGUCCCCCUACUUUACACACUGGGAUGAGUUUAGCAGAGUCUGGGCCAGAAUCUAAUUUCAAAUCAACCUGUAGUUAUGAAGUAUCUAGUUUUGUGCUAGGUAGAAGGGACGCAGUCUAGAAGGAAAUAGUUCCUGCCUUCUAGGAAGGAUUGCAAAUGAUGAAGCAAUAUUCAGAAGAAAGUAAAUAGAAAUGAUAAGGCAGCUAGAGGGCUGAAAAUGGAGUCAGGAAGCUAUGACCCAGGGCAAGUCCCAUAAUAUUUUGUCUUAACAGAAAGAAAUGAAAAACCAAUGCCAAGAAAACCUGUGAACAAUGUUACAAGAGGUCCACUAGUGAAUAACAAAAAUAGAGAUGAUAGGGCACAAACAACUGAAAUGGCCAGGAAAAGCUUGUUAGAAUGAUUCUGGUCUAUGUAGCCAUAAGGUGAAAAAAGAGAAGGGGAAUGAUCCUGGGAAAAUGAGUUGGAGAGUGGAUUGUGAAAAGCCACACCAGGGAUCUUUGUUUUAUUUUAGAGACAUUGAGGAAUUAUUGAGCCUUGAAUUCAAGGAAGUGGUAUGCUAAGGAUUGUGUUUGAAAAAUAUCCAUUUGGUAGCUGUAAGAGGCAGUCAGAUAAUAGGGGCGUGGAAUAAGGUAUGGUUUAUUUUUGGGGGGGGCCCUUCUAUCUUAGAAUCAAUCUGUGUAUUGGUUUUUAGAAAAGAUAAUACUUGGCUAUUUUGAAUUUGAGAUGCUUGUGGGGCAUCCAUAGAGGCUGAGUGUAGAGAAAUUAUUUUUACUGUAUCACUUGAUUGCUAAUCUUAUUCCAUAAUGUUUUUUGUGUAUCUAAAUCUUUUGCCAAGUUCAGAGAUUUUCCCCUAGUCUUAGGAAUGUCUUUUGUAUUUCUUGCUCUAAAGCAUCUUCUAAAACUGGAACUCAGAAUUUAAGUUGUCUUCUCUUAAAAACAGCUGACCCGAGCCAGCUAUGUCAAGGGGCCAUGGGCACUUAUCCUUGGUCUCCAUUAAAAUAAAUUGUAAAAGUCAAAACUUAACCAGAUCUUCCCAUCUAGAUCACAGAGAGCUAUUAGAAUCAUAUGACCUAUGAAUUACUCCUCAUGACUCCUCACCAUCAUGAAAUUAGAGCUGUAAAAUAUAAGCCCACCUCAUUAGAUAUCCACAAAUUAGAGAUGUCUAAUUUUUCAGGGGAGGGCUAAAUAAUGAGCUGUCAGAACUGUACUGAAAUGGAAAAAAGACCCCUAUAUCAGGGUCUCUGAUCACUGACCAUUAAUUUGCUGGUUAAUUGCUAGCCUAAUUAAUAGAAUUAUUUUUCAGACCCAGAAACCAGUCACUGAGCAUUUUAUUUGCCACAGAAUGUUUCCUUGAAAUCCAUAUAGGCAAGGAUCAAUCCCUUUGGGCGCUUCUUAGUACAAUACAACUUUGUUGAAUGGAUAAAUUAGAGGGAAUGUGGAUUUGGAUUCAGUUGCCUGGAGGACAGUGAUUACUUUGUUUUGUUUUCAUCCAAGAAAUUAAUAAAGCUAAAUAAACCAAAUGUGAUUUGUUGGAA
This is a long non-coding RNA of Gracilinanus agilis (Agile Gracile Mouse Opossum), 1817 nucleotides long. RefSeq lists it as uncharacterized. The record is from RefSeq and is a predicted model, not a curated record. The transcript is spliced from 2 exons. NCBI's taxonomy places the organism in Eukaryota, Metazoa, Chordata, Mammalia, Didelphimorphia, Didelphidae.